GCUAGCGUGGCCAAGUGGUCGGGCAGCCUCCUUUAAACCUCUACGAUAUGUGAGCCCAGGUGGAGGAGACGCAGGUUCGAGUCCCGGCGGAUGCA
Dunaliella salina is the source of this 95-nucleotide non-coding RNA. The record is from the annotation of a GenBank genome assembly. NCBI's taxonomy places the organism in Eukaryota, Viridiplantae, Chlorophyta, Chlorophyceae, Chlamydomonadales, Dunaliellaceae.